ACUAUUUUCUUCCAUCGAUUCAGGGUGAAGUAGUGCGGCAAAAAAGCAGCGCAGGACUGCCACUUCCCGUCAUCCUAACGACCACGUGUGCUUCGGUCCUUUGGCUUCUGUACGGAAUCAUUCUCAACAACUACUUCAUUAUCAUUCAAAAAGUGGUCGCGCUCGGAUUGUGCUUUCUGCAACUGUCGCUGUUUGUCAUCUACCCGGCAAAAACCAAGCGGGAAUAGUCACGUCGCAAUGGCAAAACAAUUUUCCGAUAUCGAAGUUUUUGGUUUUUUUUUAUUGGUCCUGGCUGACGGUUUCGGUCGAUUUGAUGGAUGAUGACUAGUUGGUUAUUGGCUGCCAUUCAUUUGGGUAGAUCUGAAAUAAAUUUUACAUAUCUGGAAUUCAGUGGUGUUUCAUAGUUCAAAUUGAUAUUCCUUUCAAACCGAAAAUGAUAGAAUAUUUGGUUAAUGUUUUCCAGAUUAUUUCUGUUCUUUAUGAAAUGUUUCUUUAAACCGUGUAGCAAAAAAAAAUCAUAUUGGAUUUGUCUGGAAGAGGAAGAUGCGAAAGUUAGACAGUACUUGGGUACAUAUAUGGCGACCGUUAAAAAUCACACGAAUAAUGUGUUCAACAUAAUAAAGUUCUACGGCACAACUA
Long non-coding RNA from Uranotaenia lowii, 639 nucleotides. RefSeq lists it as uncharacterized. The transcript has 2 exons. NCBI's taxonomy places the organism in Eukaryota, Metazoa, Arthropoda, Insecta, Diptera, Culicidae. The record is from RefSeq and is a predicted model, not a curated record.